RNAcentral lists this ribosomal RNA (253 nucleotides) under uncultured bacterium. Its description in RNAcentral is "partial 16S ribosomal RNA". It matches the Rfam family "Bacterial small subunit ribosomal RNA", at positions 524 to 776 of the family's 1533-position model. The record is from RNAcentral.
UACGUAGGGUGCAAGCGUUGUCCGGAAUUAUUGGGCGUAAAGAGCUCGUAGGCGGUCUGUCGCGUCGGCUGUGAAAUCCCGGAGCUCAACUCCGGGUCUGCAGUCGAUACGGGCAAACUGGAGUACUGCAGGGGAGACUGGAAUUCCUGGUGUAGCGGUGAAAUGCGCAGAUAUCAGGAAGAACACCCGUGGCGAAGGCGGCUCUCUGGAACGCAACUGACGCUGAGACGCGAAAGCGUGGGGAGCAAACAGG